CUCGCACACAGCCGAGCCCGCGUGCGUCCGAGGUAGCGGACCCCCGGGGGUUGCUGCCGGGAAGCGGCGAGUAAACCUGGGGAGGAAUGGGAUGCCGCGGCGGGGCGAGGCGGAGAUCAUGAAUCCUAGCUAGUGUCAAGUUGAAAAUGAAACAAAGAAAAACCCAAUCAAGUGGGAUUCAUCCUGUGACUACAACAUUGACCAACAUGGAAUAUCACCCAAGGGUGUUAUCAAUAUCUUUUGCCCAAAAUUUGUUUAGAAGUUGAUAAAUGUUGCCACACCCAACUGAGAGAAUAAAGAGAUUUAUCCUUCACUCUUGAAGAACAACAGACCGAAAGAAAUAAAGCUAUUUGCUGAGGCAGCUCUGGAACUGACUUUUGAGAAAGCUAGAGAGAAGUCGCCAUAGUUUUCAGAAUGUACCUGAAAGGAACAUGAAGCUGGACAGACAUCACAAGUUCAUAUACAGAAGCUCCCUCCUGGCUGGACUCAUCUGCAGAACUAAGUACCUGUUUGUUGACUAUGUUUCUUAUAAUCUAAACCCUCCUUGCCAUGUACUCACCUGGACCACAAAGGUGCCUAAAACAAUAGUGCAGAAGAUGGCAUUAUUAAAGAUUCCUUCAAACA
This is a long non-coding RNA of Peromyscus californicus insignis, 624 nucleotides long. RefSeq lists it as uncharacterized. The transcript has 4 exons. Lineage: Eukaryota; Metazoa; Chordata; Mammalia; Rodentia; Cricetidae. The record is from RefSeq and is a predicted model, not a curated record.